GUCAGGAUAGCUCAGCUGGUAGAGCAGAGGACUGAAAAUUCUCGUGUCGCCAGUUCAAAUCUGGUUCCUG
RNAcentral lists this transfer RNA (70 nucleotides) under Chamaedaphne calyculata. RNAcentral's name for it is "tRNA-Phe". It matches the Rfam family "tRNA". From Rfam's summary of the family: Transfer RNA (tRNA) molecules are approximately 80 nucleotides in length. Their secondary structure includes four short double-helical elements and three loops (D, anti-codon, and T loops). The record is from RNAcentral. Lineage: Eukaryota; Viridiplantae; Streptophyta; Magnoliopsida; Ericales; Ericaceae. RNAcentral also lists the same sequence under 32 other names.